CCGAAAUUUUCGGUUAACUUUCCUUCUUUUUAAAUCAAUUGCCGCUCAAAAAGAAUACAGUUAAUGUUUCCAUUUUUUCUUGAUUAAAGCUUCCUUUUUGUUUUGAUUUCCCUGAUUUUACGUGAUUACCAUGAUGAAAGUUUACCAUGUUUGCAAAGGAAACGAAUAUGGACGUUAUCUCGAGCACAAGCCGUAACCGCGUAAACAUCUUGUUGUCUUUCCAUUCUGCCUAUGACCGCUGAUUUCUCGGUGAUUGAUGUCAUUCCGCAUUUCCAUAUUUGUGGCGCACAACGAAUCUUGACCUAUUAUCGCACACGUGCAAAUCAAUCAUUCUCGGUUGCCAUAUUUUACGACUCUUGUGAACACUAUAAAACCGAACCUUCUUCACGGUUAAACAUCCCUCACAACUCACCUUUUUCUCUGCCUCGAACCAUACACCCUUCGCCGUAGUUCGAGGAUCAUCAUCGGAGCGUGUGGAAGUCGCCGGACAUUCGCCGGAGAUCGGAGACACCGCCGAAGACGUCGGAGUUCACGACGGAGUAUAGCUCGAUUCGUGUUCGGAUAAACAUAUCUCGUUCGUUCUUUUGGAAUUCACCACCUUUACUCGUGCGCUUUACAAGAAAUCGCAACGCAAUCAAUGUUGUUAGAUGAAGUGAUCAAGAAAACAAGCUAGGAUGAACCUAGAAACCCAUUUCAGCAAUUAAACAAUGCUUGAAUUUAUGUUUACUAUUUGAAACAAUGUAUCACUCCUUAUAAUUUAAUAAAAUGAUUUAAUUUAUAUUGUCA
This is a long non-coding RNA of Helianthus annuus (common sunflower), 786 nucleotides long. RefSeq lists it as uncharacterized. The record is from RefSeq and is a predicted model, not a curated record. NCBI's taxonomy places the organism in Eukaryota, Viridiplantae, Streptophyta, Magnoliopsida, Asterales, Asteraceae. The transcript has 3 exons.